UGAGGAAUUUUGCUCAAUGGGGGAAACCCUGAAGCAGCGACGCCGCGUGGACGAAGAAGGCCUUCGGGUUGUAAAGUCCUGUCAGUAGGGACGAUAAUGACGGUACCUGCUGAGGAAGCUCCGGCUGACUCCGUGCCAGCAGCCGCGGUAAGACGGAGGGAGCAAGCGUUGUCCGGAAUUAUUGGGCGUAAAGCGCUCGUAGGCGGGAGUUUAAGUCCGGGAGUAAAUAAGCAGGCUCAACCUGCUGAUCAUUCCGGAUACUGGACUUCUUGAGGACAGGAGAGGAAAGCGGAAUUCCUAGUGUAGCGGUGAAAUGCGUAGAUAUUAGGAGGAACACCAGUGGCGAAGGCGGCUUUCUGGCCUGAUCCUGACGCUGAGGAGCGAAAGCCAGGGGAGCGAACGGG
This 404-nucleotide ribosomal RNA is filed under the name uncultured bacterium. Its description in RNAcentral is "bacterial SSU rRNA". It matches the Rfam family "Bacterial small subunit ribosomal RNA", at positions 355 to 776 of the family's 1533-position model. The record is from RNAcentral.